RNAcentral lists this ribosomal RNA (506 nucleotides) under uncultured bacterium. Its description in RNAcentral is "bacterial SSU rRNA". It matches the Rfam family "Bacterial small subunit ribosomal RNA", at positions 29 to 516 of the family's 1533-position model. The record is from RNAcentral.
AGUGAACGCUGGCGGCAGGCCUAACACAUGCAAGUCGAGCGGCAGCGCGUCCGACCACCCUCGGGUGGUCGGAUGGCGGCGAGCGGCGGACGGGUGAGGAAUGCAUCGGAAUCUGCCUCGUUGUGGGGGAUAACGUAGGGAAACUUACGCUAAUACCGCAUACGACCUACGGGUGAAAGUGGGGGACCUUCGGGCCUCACGCGAUGAGAUGAGCCGAUGCCGGAUUAGCUAGUUGGCGGGGUAAAGGCCCACCAAGGCGACGAUCCGUAGCUGGUCUGAGAGGAUGAUCAGCCACACUGGAACUGAGACACGGUCCAGACUCCUACGGGAGGCAGCAGUAGGGAAUAUUGGACAAUGGGGGCAACCCUGAUCCAGCCAUGCCGCGUGAGUGAAGAAGGCCCUCGGGUUGUAAAGCUCUUUUGUCCGGAAAGAAAGCAUUCGGUUAAUACCCGGGUGUUCUGACGGUACCGGAAGAAUAAGCACCGGCUAACUUCGUGCCAGCAGCC